This 1726-nucleotide long non-coding RNA is filed under the name Diabrotica virgifera virgifera (western corn rootworm). RNAcentral describes it as "uncharacterized LOC126884579". Lineage: Eukaryota; Metazoa; Arthropoda; Insecta; Coleoptera; Chrysomelidae. The record is from RNAcentral.
GCAUAUUUUGUACAGGGUGUUUGGUAAAGAAUGGGCCAUAGCUUAACUUAACCGUAGAUUUCUGAGCUUAAAAUAGGCCGUUCUAUCAGGUUCCAUCAGGUAAAGAGGCAAACAUAAAUGUUAUUCUAUCAGGUUCUUAAUGUGUUUUAGAUUUAAUCAUUUUAGUUGUGUUUCUUUGUAAUUUUGUGUUGUACAAAGAUUAAUUUAACAUUUUCUCUGGAAGUAUUAAUUUAGAAAGAUAAUAUGCCUCAUUGGUGUUAUGUUUUGAAGUGUGAAAUGCAAAAUAAUCGUGAUAAACUUCACUUUUACCACUUACCAUCAGUGCUACAUUUUAAGCACAAAAAUGAACUUAAUAAGUUAUCAUCUAAGAGACAACAACAAUGGUUAAAUGCAAUAAAAUGGUAGUUUUACUAGCGAAAUGAAAAUUCUCCUGUCUGCUGUAAUCAUUUUAUGUCUGGAAAAUAAGCCGACUUAACCGAUAAUAACAAUCCAGAUUGGGUUCCUUCAAUAAAUAUGGGGUGGUAUAAACACAAUGAAAUGAGUUCCCCAAAAUCUAAAAUGGAGCGGUAUCAAAGGAGAAUUAAAAGAAAAUGGUACCUACAAGAAAAAAUUGCUUUUUUUUAUUCCUAUUGAAAUGAUUUAUAAGGCACUUGGCUGUCUUAUAUUCUACAAAUACUAGGUAGGUCUAUGAUUUUACACAUUUUUCAUUAAUGAUUGUAGGUUACUGUUAUUUUAAAGUAGAUUUAGAAAAAGUGGAAAGUGAAGAAGCUAGUUUAGUAGAAGACAAGAUUUUGCCAAAUAGUAAAAACUGACAAACAGAUAUUACAAUGGAAAAAUUAACUAAUACAUUUUGUCAUUAACACACGAUUUAAAAUAUCAGCUUAAGAAACUAGCUUUAUCUUGUGAAAGUAUAGAAAAUGAUGAUGCCUAAACUAAAAAUUAUACUGGUUUAGCAAAUUACAAUGUUUUUAAAAUAGUUUUAAAGUAUAUUACGCCAUUUAUCAAAUACCAUCAAAAUACUGUUUUGUCGCCAAGUGAUUAAGUAUUGCUUACUUUAGCUAAACUAAGAUUAAACUUAGAUUAUAAAGAUUUGGGAUAUAGGUUUGGUAUUUUACCCUACUCGGUAUCAACUUAUUUCAAAAACACUUUGUAUAUAAUGUGCCUUAGGUUAAAAAAUUUUGUGUUCUGGCCUGAUAGAGACAUUUUAAAGAAAACUAUGCCAAAUUCAUUUAAAGGAUCUUUUCAUGGAAAUACUACAACUAUAAUUGACUUUUUCGAAAUAAGGACUCAAACACCUAGAAAUUUAUUAACUGCAGCACAAUCUUGGUCGAAUUAUAAUCAUAUAUUGGUAUUUUUAGGUUUCCAAAAGAUCCUGAAAGGCGUGAAAUAUGGAUAAGAUUUGUUAAUAGAGUAGUAUAGAAACCUAACAAAAAUAGUGUAUUAAGUACUUAUGUUCAAAACAUUUUUUAGGAAAAGAUAUUAACAGAACUUCACUUCCAUCUGUUCGUUUGAGAGACUGUGCUGUUCCAAUAGCUUAUGUCACACAGAAUCAGCUGAGAGAAGUGGUCUACAAAAAACCAGGAAGGGAAUGGAAUAUGUGGCUACGAAAGUCAAAAGAAAGGUUACAAAGCAAAUGUGACACAUUUUUUUUAAUAUUUAGGAAUAUCAGUAAAUUACAUUAAAAAAUGUAUGAAAAGAUUUUGUGCAAUAAAAAUGUUUAAAUUUA